CCAAACCUGGUUGAUCCUGCCAGUAGUCAUAUGCUUGUCUCAAAGAUUAAGCCAUGCAUGUCUAAGAAUAAGCCCUUGAACGGUGAAUCUGCGAAUGGCUCAUUAAAUCAGUUAUUGUUUAUUUGAUGGUACCUUACUACUUGGAUAACCGUAGUAAUUCUAGAGCUAAUACAUGCGUCAAGCCCUGACUUCGGA
RNAcentral lists this ribosomal RNA (195 nucleotides) under uncultured eukaryote. RNAcentral describes it as "partial 18S ribosomal RNA". It matches the Rfam family "Eukaryotic small subunit ribosomal RNA", at positions 1 to 193 of the family's 1831-position model. The record is from RNAcentral.